Molecule: ribosomal RNA, 116 nt
Filed under: Pteropus alecto (black flying fox)
Lineage: Eukaryota; Metazoa; Chordata; Mammalia; Chiroptera; Pteropodidae
Source: RNAcentral
GUCUACGGCCAUGCUACCCUGAACAAGCCCCAUCCCAUCUGAUCUUGGAAGCUAAGCAGGGUGGGGCCUGGUUAGUACUUGGAUGGGAAGUACUAGGAAGACCAGUGCUGUAGAUG